RNAcentral lists this ribosomal RNA (403 nucleotides) under uncultured bacterium. RNAcentral's name for it is "partial 16S ribosomal RNA". It matches the Rfam family "Bacterial small subunit ribosomal RNA", at positions 30 to 526 of the family's 1533-position model. The record is from RNAcentral.
AUUGAACGCUGGCGGCAGGCCUAACACAUGCAAGUCGAGCGAGCGGCGGACGGGUGAGUAAUGUAUGGGGACUGCCCGAUAGAGGGGGAUAACUACUGGAAACGGUGGCUAAUACCGCAUACUAUCGGAUAACCCAUAUGGUAUUAGCUAGUAGGUGGGGUAAAGGCUCACCUAGGCGACGAUCUCUAGCUGGUCUGAGAGGAUGAUCAGCCACACUGGGACUGGAACACGAGCAAGACUCCUACGGAGGAAGAAGUGGGGAAUAUUGCACAAUGGGGGCAAGCCUGAUGCGGCCAGGCGGCGUGUAUUAAGAAGGCCUUAGGGUUUUAAAGUACUUUCAGAGGGGAGGCGUUACCCACAGAAGAAGCACCGGCUAACUCCGUGCCAGCAGCCGCGGUAAUAC